CUACGGGCCGCUGCAGUGAAGAAUAUUGCACAAUGGGGGGAACCCUGAUGCAGCAACGCCGCGUGGAGGAUGACGCAUUUCGGUGUGUAAACUCCUUUUAUAUGUCAAGAAAAUGACGGUAGCAUAUGAAUAAGCACCGGCUAACUCCGUGCCAGCAGCCGCGGUAAUAGGGAGGGUGCAAGCGUUACUCGGAAUCACUGGGCGUAAAGGACGCGUAGGCGGGUUGGAAAGUCAGGUGUGAAAUCCUACAGCUUAACUGUAGAACUGCACUUGAAACUUCUAAUCUAGAGUAUGGGAGGGGGAGAUGGAAUUAGUGGUGUAGGGGUAAAAUCCGUAGAUAUCACUAGGAAUACCUAAAGCGAAGGCGAUCUCCUGGAACAUUACUGACGCUAAGGCGUGAAAGCGUGGGGAGCAAACAGGAUUAGAUACCCUUGUAGUC
RNAcentral lists this ribosomal RNA (439 nucleotides) under uncultured bacterium. RNAcentral describes it as "partial 16S ribosomal RNA". It matches the Rfam family "Bacterial small subunit ribosomal RNA", at positions 339 to 795 of the family's 1533-position model. The record is from RNAcentral.